CGAGUUUGAUCAUCGGCUCAGGAUUAACGCUAGCGGCAGGCCUAAUACAUGCAAGUCGAACGGCAGCGGGUGUAGCAAUACAUGCCGGCGAGUGGCGCACGGGUGCGUAACGCGUAUGCAAUCUACCUGUAACUGGGGAAUAGCCUUCCGAAAGGAAGAUUAAUACCGCAUAAUAUCAUGAAGUGGCAUCAUUUUAUGAUCAAAACUCCGCCUAGAGAGAAGCUCGCGGCUGAUUAGCUUGUUGGUAAGGUAAGAGCUUACCAAGGCGACGAUCAGUAUCUGGUUUGAGAGGACGAUCAGACACACUGGAACUGAGACACGGUCCAGACUCCUACGGGAGGCAGCAGUGGGGGAAUUUUCCGCAAUGGGCGAAAGCCUGACGGAGCAAUACCGCGUGAGGGAAGAAUGCCUAUGGGUUGUAAACCUCUUUUUUCAGGGAGGAAUAAAAUGACGUGUACCUGAAGAAUAAGCAUCGGCUAACUCCGUG
RNAcentral lists this ribosomal RNA (487 nucleotides) under uncultured bacterium. RNAcentral's name for it is "bacterial SSU rRNA". It matches the Rfam family "Bacterial small subunit ribosomal RNA", at positions 9 to 507 of the family's 1533-position model. The record is from RNAcentral.